This 407-nucleotide ribosomal RNA is filed under the name uncultured bacterium. Its description in RNAcentral is "partial 16S ribosomal RNA". It matches the Rfam family "Bacterial small subunit ribosomal RNA", at positions 30 to 526 of the family's 1533-position model. The record is from RNAcentral.
AUUGAACGCUAGCGGGAGGCCUUACACAUGCAAGUCGAGCGGAGCGGCGGACGGGUGAGUAAUGCAUCGGAACCUGCCCGGUAGUGGGGGAUAACGACCGGAAAGGGUAGCUAAUACCGCAUACUAUCAGAAAGGCCGAGGUCGGAUGAGCUAGUUGGUGGGGUAAAGGCCUACCAAGGCGACGAUCCGUAGCUGGUAUGAGAGGAUGACCAGUCACACUGUAACUGAGACACGGGCCAGACUCACACGGGAGGCAGUAGUGGGUAAUCUUGGACAAUGGGUGAAACUCUGUGCCAGCCAUGCCGCGUGUGUGAAGAAGGUCUUCGGAUUGUAAAGCCCUUUUAGCAGGGAGGCGUUACCUACACAAUAAGCACCGGCUAACUACGUGCCAGCCGCCGCGGUAAUAC